Molecule: ribosomal RNA, 253 nt
Filed under: uncultured bacterium
Lineage: Bacteria
Description: partial 16S ribosomal RNA
Rfam family: Bacterial small subunit ribosomal RNA
Source: RNAcentral
UACGGAGGGAGCUAGCGUUGUUCGGAAUUACUGGGCGUAAAGCGCACGUAGGCGGAUUUCUAAGUCAGGGGUGAAAUCCUGGAGCUCAACUCCAGAACUGCCUUUGAUACUGGGAAUCUCGAGUCCGGGAGAGGUGAGUGGAACUGCGAGUGUAGAGGUGAAAUUCGUAGAUAUUCGCAAGAACACCAGUGGCGAAGGCGGCUCACUGGCCCGGUACUGACGCUGAGGUGCGAAAGCGUGGGGAGCAAACAGG